Molecule: unclassified non-coding RNA, 300 nt
Organism: Phascolarctos cinereus (koala)
Lineage: Eukaryota; Metazoa; Chordata; Mammalia; Diprotodontia; Phascolarctidae
Rfam family: Metazoan signal recognition particle RNA
About the family: The signal recognition particle (SRP) is a universally conserved ribonucleoprotein. It is involved in the co-translational targeting of proteins to membranes.
Source: Ensembl
UCCAGUGGUGGUGAGGCAGACCUGUAACCCCUACUACCAGGAAGGCUGAGAAUGGUGGAUCUCUUGAGUUCAGGAGUUUUGAGCUUCAUUGGGGUAAACCUAUCAGAUGUCUUCACUAUGUUUGGCAGUAAUAUGGUGAUCCUCUGGAAGAAGGGGACCACCAAGUUGACUAAGGAAGAGUGAACUGACCCAAGGUAGAAAUAGGACAGGUCAAAUCUCCUGUACUAAACAGCAGUGGGAUCAGAUUCAUGAGUAGCCCCUGAAUUUCCAGCCUAAGUGAGAUAGGAAGUUACAAUCUUA